GACGUAGGAGGCGAGCGUUAUCCGGAUUCACUGGGCGUAAAGCGCAUGUAGGCGGAUGUCUAAGUCGUGUGUUAAAGCCCCUGGCUCAACUGGGGGAGGUCAUGCGAGACUGGAUGACUUGAGGGCAACAGAGGCACGUGGAACUCCCGGUGUAGCGGUGGAAUGCGUAGAGAUCGGGAAGAACACCCGUGGCGAAGGCGGCGUGCUGGGUUGCAACUGACGCUGAGAUGCGAAAGUGUGGGGAGCAGACGGG
Molecule: ribosomal RNA, 253 nt
Filed under: uncultured bacterium
Lineage: Bacteria
Description: partial 16S ribosomal RNA
Rfam family: Bacterial small subunit ribosomal RNA
Source: RNAcentral